GGCUGAAAUUCGCCUUCCAUGAAGCCGGAAUUGCUAGUAAUGGCAGGUCAGCAUACUGCCGUGAAUACGUUCCCGGGCCUUGUACACACCGCCCGUCACACCAUGAGAGUUGGGGAUACCCGAAGCCUGUGAGCCAACAGUUUACUGAGGCAGCAGUCGAAGGUAGAAUCAAUGAUUGGGGUGAAGUCGUAACAAGGUACC
RNAcentral lists this ribosomal RNA (201 nucleotides) under uncultured bacterium. RNAcentral's name for it is "partial 16S ribosomal RNA". It matches the Rfam family "Bacterial small subunit ribosomal RNA", at positions 1303 to 1500 of the family's 1533-position model. The record is from RNAcentral.